GAGUUUGAUCCUGGCUCAGAGCGAACGCUGGCGGCAGGCCUAACACAUGCAAGUCGAGCGCCCAGCAAUGGGAGCGGCAGACGGGAUAGUAACACGUGGGAACGUACCCUUCAGUACGGAACAACCAAGGGAAACUUUGGCUAAUACCGUAUACGUCCGUAAGGAGAAAGAUUUAUCGCUGAAGGAUCGGCCCGCGUCUGAUUAGCUAGUUGGUGAGGUAACGGCUCACCAAGGCGACGAUCAGUAGCUGGUCUGAGAGGAUGAUCAGCAUCACUGGGACUGAGACACGGCCCAGACUCCUACGGGAGGCAGCAGUGGGGAAUAUUGGACAAUGGGCGCAAGCCUGAUCCAGCCAUGCCGCGUGGAUGAUGAAGGCCCUAGGGUUGUAAAGUCCUUUUAACGGGGAAGAUAAUGACGGUAUCCGUAGAAUAAGCCCCGGCUAACUUCGUGCCAGCAGCCGCCGCGGU
Molecule: ribosomal RNA, 467 nt
Filed under: uncultured Alphaproteobacteria bacterium
Lineage: Bacteria; Pseudomonadati; Pseudomonadota; Alphaproteobacteria
Description: bacterial SSU rRNA
Rfam family: Bacterial small subunit ribosomal RNA
Source: RNAcentral